GACGAACGCUGGCGGCGUGCUUAACACAUGCAAGUCGAACGGUGAAGCGCCUUCCUUUUUGGUGGGUGUGGAUGAGUGGCGAACGGGUGAGUAACACGUGAGUAACCUGCCCCCUUCUUCUGGAUAACCGCAUGAAAGUGUGGCUAAUACGGGAUAUUCUGGGUCUGUCGCAUGAUGGGUCUGGGAAAGAUAUUGUUUCGGUGGGGGAUGGGCUCGCGGCCUAUCAGCUUGUUGGUGGGUGAUGGCCUACCAAGGCGGUGACGGGUAGCCGGCCUGAGAGGGUGGACGGUCACACUGGGACUGAGACACGGCCCAGACUCCUACGGGAGGCAGCAGUGGGGAAUACUGCACAAUGGGCGCAAGCCUGAUGCAGCGACGCCGCGUGAGGGAUGGAGGCCUUCGGGUUGUGAACCUCUUUCGCCAGUGAAGCAGGCCUGCCUCGUUUGUGGGUGGGUUGACGGUAGCUGGAUAAGAAGCGCCGGCUAACUACGUG
RNAcentral lists this ribosomal RNA (493 nucleotides) under uncultured bacterium. RNAcentral's name for it is "partial 16S ribosomal RNA". It matches the Rfam family "Bacterial small subunit ribosomal RNA", at positions 28 to 507 of the family's 1533-position model. The record is from RNAcentral.